Molecule: ribosomal RNA, 2617 nt
Filed under: Staphylococcus aureus
Lineage: Bacteria; Bacillati; Bacillota; Bacilli; Caryophanales; Staphylococcaceae
Also listed under: 1 other name
Description: partial 23S ribosomal RNA
Rfam family: Bacterial large subunit ribosomal RNA
Source: RNAcentral
ACUCUAUACGGAGUUACAAAGGACGACAUUAGACGAAUCAUCUGGAAAGAUGAAUCAAAGAAGGUAAUAAUCCUGUAGUCGAAAAUGUUGUCUCUCUUGAGUGGAUCCUGAGUACGACGGAGCACGUGAAAUUCCGUCGGAAUCUGGGAGGACCAUCUCCUAAGGCUAAAUACUCUCUAGUGACCGAUAGUGAACCAGUACCGUGAGGGAAAGGUGAAAAGCACCCCGGAAGGGGAGUGAAAUAGAACCUGAAACCGUGUGCUUACAAGUAGUCAGAGCCCGUUAAUGGGUGAUGGCGUGCCUUUUGUAGAAUGAACCGGCGAGUUACGAUUUGAUGCAAGGUUAAGCAGUAAAUGUGGAGCCGUAGCGAAAGCGAGUCUGAAUAGGGCGUUUAGUAUUUGGUCGUAGACCCGAAACCAGGUGAUCUACCCUUGGUCAGGUUGAAGUUCAGGUAACACUGAAUGGAGGACCGAACCGACUUACGUUGAAAAGUGAGCGGAUGAACUGAGGGUAGCGGAGAAAUUCCAAUCGAACCUGGAGAUAGCUGGUUCUCUCCGAAAUAGCUUUAGGGCUAGCCUCAAGUGAUGAUUAUUGGAGGUAGAGCACUGUUUGGACGAGGGGCCCCUCUCGGGUUACCGAAUUCAGACAAACUCCGAAUGCCAAUUAAUUUAACUUGGGAGUCAGAACAUGGGUGAUAAGGUCCGUGUUCGAAAGGGAAACAGCCCAGACCACCAGCUAAGGUCCCAAAAUAUAUGUUAAGUGGAAAAGGAUGUGGCGUUGCCCAGACAACUAGGAUGUUGGCUUAGAAGCAGCCAUCAUUUAAAGAGUGCGUAAUAGCUCACUAGUCGAGUGACACUGCGCCGAAAAUGUACCGGGGCUAAACAUAUUACCGAAGCUGUGGAUUGUCCUUUGGACAAUGGUAGGAGAGCGUUCUAAGGGCGUUGAAGCAUGAUCGUAAGGACAUGUGGAGCGCUUAGAAGUGAGAAUGCCGGUGUGAGUAGCGAAAGACGGGUGAGAAUCCCGUCCACCGAUUGACUAAGGUUUCCAGAGGAAGGCUCGUCCGCUCUGGGUUAGUCGGGUCCUAAGCUGAGGCCGACAGGCGUAGGCGAUGGAUAACAGGUUGAUAUUCCUGUACCACCUAUAAUCGUUUUAAUCGAUGGGGGGACGCAGUAGGAUAGGCGAAGCGUGCGAUUGGAUUGCACGUCUAAGCAGUAAGGCUGAGUAUUAGGCAAAUCCGGUACUCGUUAAGGCUGAGCUGUGAUGGGGAGAAGACAUUGUGUCUUCGAGUCGUUGAUUUCACACUGCCGAGAAAAGCCUCUAGAUAGAAAAUAGGUGCCCGUACCGCAAACCGACACAGGUAGUCAAGAUGAGAAUUCUAAGGUGAGCGAGCGAACUCUCGUUAAGGAACUCGGCAAAAUGACCCCGUAACUUCGGGAGAAGGGGUGCUCUUUAGGGUUAACGCCCAGAAGAGCCGCAGUGAAUAGGCCCAAGCGACUGUUUAUCAAAAACACAGGUCUCUGCUAAACCGUAAGGUGAUGUAUAGGGGCUGACGCCUGCCCGGUGCUGGAAGGUUAAGAGGAGUGGUUAGCUUCUGCGAAGCUACGAAUCGAAGCCCCAGUAAACGGCGGCCGUAACUAUAACGGUCCUAAGGUAGCGAAAUUCCUUGUCGGGUAAGUUCCGACCCGCACGAAAGGCGUAACGAUUUGGGCACUGUCUCAACGAGAGACUCGGUGAAAUCAUAGUACCUGUGAAGAUGCAGGUUACCCGCGACAGGACGGAAAGACCCCGUGGAGCUUUACUGUAGCCUGAUAUUGAAAUUCGGCACAGCUUGUACAGGAUAGGUAGGAGCCUUUGAAACGUGAGCGCUAGCUUACGUGGAGGCGCUGGUGGGAUACUACCCUAGCUGUGUUGGCUUUCUAACCCGCACCACUUAUCGUGGUGGGAGACAGUGUCAGGCGGGCAGUUUGACUGGGGCGGUCGCCUCCUAAAAGGUAACGGAGGCGCUCAAAGGUUCCCUCAGAAUGGUUGGAAAUCAUUCAUAGAGUGUAAAGGCAUAAGGGAGCUUGACUGCGAGACCUACAAGUCGAGCAGGGUCGAAAGACGGACUUAGUGAUCCGGUGGUUCCGCAUGGAAGGGCCAUCGCUCAACGGAUAAAAGCUACCCCGGGGAUAACAGGCUUAUCUCCCCCAAGAGUUCACAUCGACGGGGAGGUUUGGCACCUCGAUGUCGGCUCAUCGCAUCCUGGGGCUGUAGUCGGUCCCAAGGGUUGGGCUGUUCGCCCAUUAAAGCGGUACGCGAGCUGGGUUCAGAACGUCGUGAGACAGUUCGGUCCCUAUCCGUCGUGGGCGUAGGAAAUUUGAGAGGAGCUGUCCUUAGUACGAGAGGACCGGGAUGGACAUACCUCUGGUGUACCAGUUGUCGUGCCAACGGCAUAGCUGGGUAGCUAUGUGUGGACGGGAUAAGUGCUGAAAGCAUCUAAGCAUGAAGCCCCCCUCAAGAUGAGAUUUCCCAACUUCGGUUAUAAGAUCCCUCAAAGAUGAUGAGGUUAAUAGGUUCGAGGUGGAAGCAUGGUGACAUGUGGAGCUGACGAAUACUAAUCGAUCGAAGACUUAAUCAA